Molecule: ribosomal RNA, 2835 nt
Filed under: Oscillospiraceae bacterium
Lineage: Bacteria; Bacillati; Bacillota; Clostridia; Eubacteriales; Oscillospiraceae
Description: 23S ribosomal RNA
Rfam family: Bacterial large subunit ribosomal RNA
Source: RNAcentral
GGUCAAGCGAACAAGGGCGCAGGGCGAAUGCCUUGGCACUGGGAGCCGAUGAAAGACGUGAUAAGCUGCGAUAAGCUUCGGGGAGCUGCAAAUAAGCAUUGAUCCGGAGAUUUCUGAAUGAGGAAACUCACCUGGGUUCAUACUCAGGUACGUUAUACUGAACUUCAAAAUAGGUAUAUCGAGGGAACCGCCUGAACUGAAACAUCUAAGUAGGGCGAGGAAGAGACAUCAAACGAGAUUCCGUAAGUAGUGGCGAGCGAACGCGGAAGAGGGCAAACCGAGAGUAGAAAUACUUUCGGGGUACGGACUGCUUUUAGGACUUAAUCUGUUAACCGAACGGCAUGGGAAGGCCGGUCAGAGAGUGUGAGAACCACGUAGGUGAAAACGGAGAGAGCUGCGCAGGAUCCAGAGUACGGCCAGACACGUGAAACCUGGUCGGAAUAUGGGGGGACCACCCUCCAACCCUAAAUACUACCCAGUGACCGAUAGCGUAUAGUACUGUGAAGGAAAGGUGAAAAGCACCCCGGGAGGGGAGUGAAAAAGAACCUGAAACCCUGUGCCUACAAGCACCUAGAGCGCGUCAAUGCGUGAUAGGGUACUUUUUGUAGAACGGUCCGGCGAGCGAUUGUAUGCAGCAAGGUUAAGGACUUAAGGUCUGGAGCCGAAGCGAAAGCGAGUUUGAAAAGGGCGUUAAGUUGCAUAUAAUGGGCCCGAAACCGGGUGACCUACCCAUGGUCAGGUUGAAGUGGAAGUAAAAUUCCAUGGAGGACCGAACCGACCUCCGUUGAAAAGGCGGCGGAUGAACUGUGGGUAGCGGAGAAAUUCCAAUCGAACCCGGAGAUAGCUGGUUCUCCCCGAAAUAGUUUUAGGACUAGCCUCAAGUUAGAUACCUGGAGGUAAAGCACUGAAUAGCCUAGCGGCCGAGAGGUUAGCGAAGCUUAUCAAACUCAGAAUGCCAGAGUAUUGAUGCUUGGGAGUCAGACAGUGUCAGAUAAAUGUCAUUGUCAAAAGGGAAACAGCCCAGAUCUACAGCUAAGGUCCCAAAGUCAGGUUAAGUGGAAAACGAUGUGAAGAUACGUAGACAACCAGGAUGUUGGCUCAGAAGCAGCCACUCAUUCAAAGAGUGCGUAAUAGCUCACUGGUCGAGCGUCUUUGCGCGGAGAAUUUAACGGGGCUAAACCUGACACCGAAGCUUAGGCAGCAUGAUUACAUGCUGGGUAGGGGAGCGUUGUAUACGCGGUGAAACAGUAGCGCAAGCGGCUGUGGAGUGUAUAGAAGUGAGAAUGCCGGAAUGAGUAGCGCGAAUGCAGUGAGAAUCUGCAUGGCCGAAAGCCUCAGGUUUCUGGAGGAAGGUUCGUCCGCUCCAGGUCAGUCGGGAGCUAAGGUGAGGCCUAACGGCGUAGCCGAUGCACAGACGGUAGAGAUUCCGUCACCACCAAAAGAGUUAAACACAGGGACACAUAUGAAGUCUCGGAGCCGGGUGUUGGUUCCGGUAGCGAUCGAGGGAAGUUAGUACCGAAGUCUGAGAUGGAAGAUGGCGAGAAAAGCUGUGUGAAUUUCUGCGGUGCCCGUACCGCAAACCGACACAGGUAGGUAGGAAGAAGAUUCUAAGGCCAACGGGAGAAGGGUUGUUAAGGAACUCGGCAAAUUGACCCCGUAACUUCGGGAGAAGGGGUGCUGCAGCAAUGCAGCCGCAGAGAAUCGGCCCAAGCAACUGUUUACCAAAAACACAGGUUUGUGCUAAAUCGAAAGAUGACGUAUACGAGCUGACGCCUGCCCGGUGCUGGAAGGUUAAGAGGAGAUGUGCAAGCAUUGAAUCGAAGCCCCAGUGAACGGCGGCCGUAACUAUAACGGUCCUAAGGUAGCGAAAUUCCUUGUCAGGUAAGUUCUGACCCGCAUGAAAGGCGUAAUGAUUUGGGCACUGUCUCAACAGCCCGCCCGGCGAAAUUGUAGUACCGGUGAAGAUGCCGGUUACCCGCGACAAGACGGAAAGACCCCAUGGAGCUUUACUGUAGCCUAAUAUUGGGUUUCGAUGUUGCAUGCACAGGAUAGAUGGGACACUGGGAAGCAGGUGCUUUGGCGCUUGUGGAGUGGCCGUUGGGAUACCAUCCUUGCGAUAUUGGAAUUCUAACCUGCGCCUUUGAAUCAAGGCGGGGGACAUUGUUAGGUGGGCAGUUUGACUGGGGCGGUCGCCUCCUAAAGAGUAACGGAGGCGUUCAAAGGUUCGCUCAGCUUGAACGGAAAUCAAGCAAAAGAGUGCAAACGCAGAAGCGAGCCUAACUGCGAGACUGACGGGUCGAGCAGUAACGAAAGUUGGAGUUAGUGAUCCGGUGGUAUGUGAGUGGAAAUGCCAUCGCUCAACGGAUAAAAGUUACCCUGGGGAUAACAGGCUGAUCUCCCCCAAGAGUCCACAUCGACGGGGAGGUUUGGCACCUCGAUGUCGGCUCAUCGCAUCCUGGGGCUGUAUUCGGUCCCAAGGGUUUGGCUGUUCGCCAAUUAAAGCGGUACGCGAGCUGGGUUCAGAACGUCGUGAGACAGUUCGGUCCCUAUCUGUCGUGGGCGCAGGAUAUUUGAUGGGAGCUGUUCCUAGUACGAGAGGACCGGAGCGGACGUACCUCUGGCGCACCAGUUGUUCUGCCAAGAGCAUAGCUGGGCAACUAUGUACGGAUCGGAUAAACGCUGAAAGCAUCUAAGCGUGAAGCCGACCCAAAGAUAAGAUAUCCCAUUGUUUCAAACAAGUAAGACCCCUUGAAGACUACAAGGUUGAUAGGCACGAUGUGUAAGUGGAGCGAUCCAUUCAGCAAGCGUGUACUAAUAGGUCGAGGGCUUGACCAC